UACGAAGGGGGCUAGCGUUGUUCGGAAUUACUGGGCGUAAAGGGCGCGUAGGCGGCGUGUCAAGUCAGGCGUGAAAGCCCCGGGCUCAACCUGGGAACCGCGCUUGAGACUGGCAUGCUCGAGUUCGGGAGAGGAUGGUGGAAUUCCCAGUGUAGAGGUGAAAUUCGUAGAUAUUGGGAAGAACACCGGUGGCGAAGGCGGCUAUCUGGCCCGUAAUUGACGCUGAGGCGCGAAAGCGUGGGGAGCAAACAGG
This 253-nucleotide ribosomal RNA is filed under the name uncultured bacterium. RNAcentral's name for it is "partial 16S ribosomal RNA". It matches the Rfam family "Bacterial small subunit ribosomal RNA", at positions 524 to 776 of the family's 1533-position model. The record is from RNAcentral.